RNAcentral lists this unclassified non-coding RNA (953 nucleotides) under Hevea brasiliensis (rubber tree). The record is from RNAcentral. Lineage: Eukaryota; Viridiplantae; Streptophyta; Magnoliopsida; Malpighiales; Euphorbiaceae.
AAUUCUAAUGUUAGUUCCUCUUACCGUUGCACAAAUGUGGAAAAUUACCACUGAAAGAUACAGGAAACGCAACGAUCACCGCGAAUGAUCAUCAUUCGCACUCGGGUGCAGCACUAGGUCGUUCAGAAGGGCACUGGAUUCCAGUGUCCAAGAUUAACAUUUGUCCAACGGUAAGAGGAACUAACAUUAGAAUUAUAGGAGUCAAACUGCAUAUUGUUAGGAGGAUAGCCUGCCAAACUAUAGUGUCUGGGCGGUGGAUACAUGUAAGGAGCACCUUGAGUCGCAACAAAACCUGGUGGAUGCUGCUGGGGAGGUUGCAUUGAAUGAACUACAGGUGUGCCACGAAUGGAUGCUUUUGGAGGAUCCUCUGAUGAAACAUGUAUUCUAGGACGCUUUUUUCCACUCUGCUGUUGCAGUUCAGUGUUAGGGGCAGUGACAGAAGUUGGUGCAGAGGAAAGGGAGACCUGCUGAUCUAAUUUAGAUUUAGACGAGGAACAAGGUGUGAUUUUGGCUUUUGAUUUUUCAAUGAUAAGAACUUUCUCUUCUUUCUGUUUUUCCAGUUGGACAAUUUGUUCUUUGAGGAUUGCAGGUGAGAUGCCAUCAAUCUUGUAAUCCGUGAUGCAUUUGACCACAGCUGUCAAUGCUUUUACCUCUUUGACAAUGGCUUGAAUCUGCCCUCCAUUAGAUUUUCUCUUUUUCCUGGAUAGUUGCUUAACAUUCUUUUUGGAAGAAUUGCUCAAAUAGUCCUUUAAAAUGGGUACCGGUGGGAACUUGUCGACCAUAUCUAAUGCAUAGAUAUAUUUAACAGCCUCUAUUGGCUGGUCCUUCUUAAUGAGAUUUUGAAUAAAAUUUGGGAUCUUAUCUGCUAAACCAAGUACUUGAACCAAAUCAGCAGCCUCUUUACGCCACUCAUCAGCAUCCAGAAGAACAAGAAGUUUGUCUGCAUCGAAAGU